RNAcentral lists this ribosomal RNA (484 nucleotides) under uncultured bacterium. Its description in RNAcentral is "partial 16S ribosomal RNA". It matches the Rfam family "Bacterial small subunit ribosomal RNA", at positions 29 to 507 of the family's 1533-position model. The record is from RNAcentral.
AGUGAACGCUGGCGGCAGGCCUAACACAUGCAAGUCGAGCGGCAGCAGGAGCUUCGGGCUGCCGUCGAGUGGCCGACGGGUGAGGAAUGCGUCGGAAUCUGCCCUUUCGUUGGGGAUAACGUAGCGUAACGAACCCUAAUCUCGCAUCCGAUAUACGGUUGAAAGGGAGGGACCGCAAGGCCUAGCGCAGCUAGCUGACACUACGUCGGAUUAGCUAGUUGGCGGGGUAAAGGCGCACCAAGGCGACGAUCCGUAGCUGAUCUGAGAGGGUGAUCGGCCACACUGGAACUGAGACACGGUCCAGACUCCUACGGGAGGCAGCAGUGGGGAAUAUUGGGCAAUGGGCGAAAGCCUGAUGCAGCCAUGCCGCGUGUGUGAAGAAGGUCUUCGGGUUGUAAAGCACUUUUAUCCGGGAAGAAAUCCUGUCUGCUAAUACCUGGCCGUGAUGACGGUACCGGAAGAAUAAGCACCGGCUAACUUCGUG